UCACACAAGAGACCCAAAUUAACUAUACUACCGGCGUAAAGAGUGGUAAUAUGCUAUCCCAACAACUAAGAUCAAAACACAACUGAGCCGUCAUAAGCCCAAGAUAUGUCUAAAACCACCCUCAAGACGAUCUUAGCACCCACGACCAAUUUAAAUCCACGAAAGCUAGGACACAAACUGGGAUUAGAUACCCCACUAUGCCUAGCCCUAAAUCAAAGUACUUACCAAACCCAAGUACUCGCCCGAGAACUACGAGCACAAACGCUUAAAACUCUAAGGACUUGGCGGUGCCCCAAACCCACCUAGAGGAGCCUGUUCUAUAAUCGAUAACCCACGAUUCACCCAACCACCCCUCGCCAACACAGCCUACAUACCGCCGUCGCCAGCUCACCUCCCCUGAGAGCCCAACAGUGAGCUAAGCAGUUACCCCACUAGCAAGACAGGUCAAGGUAUAGCCCAUGGGGUGGAAGAAAUGGGCUACAUUUUCUACUACUAGAACAAACUUUACGAAAAGGGAUCUGAAACCAUCCCUAGAAGGAGGAUUUAGCAGUAAAGUAAGACAAUAGAGCCUACUUUAAACCGGCUCUGGGACACGUACAUACCGCCCGUCACCCUCCUCACAAGCUAAAAUAGACCAUAUAAAUAAUCUGCCAAACAGCCAAAGAUGAGGUAAGUCGUAACAA
This 683-nucleotide ribosomal RNA is filed under the name Anhima cornuta. Its description in RNAcentral is "partial 12S ribosomal RNA". It matches the Rfam family "Bacterial small subunit ribosomal RNA", at positions 521 to 1494 of the family's 1533-position model. Lineage: Eukaryota; Metazoa; Chordata; Aves; Anseriformes; Anhimidae. The record is from RNAcentral.